UAACCUGCCUGGUAGCGGGGGAUAACUAUUGGAAACGAUAGCUAAUACCGCAUAAUAGUAGAUGUUGCAUGACAUUUGCUUAAAAGGUGCAAUUGCAUCACUACCAGAUGGACCUGCGUUGUAUUAGCUAGUUGGUGAGGUAACGGCUCACCAAGGCAACGAUACAUAGCCGACCUGAGAGGGUGAUCGGCCACACUGGGACUGAGACACGGCCCAG
This 217-nucleotide ribosomal RNA is filed under the name uncultured bacterium. Its description in RNAcentral is "partial 16S ribosomal RNA". It matches the Rfam family "Bacterial small subunit ribosomal RNA", at positions 122 to 334 of the family's 1533-position model. The record is from RNAcentral.